GAAUAUAGAGCUUGAUGGAAUUUUCUCCCUUCUUGGUCUUAACAUACUUCAAACUGCUGCCACUGAAUAUUUACUUCCCACAAUAGUCCAAGAACCAUCACCACUCACCACUUGACCCGCAACAUGUCUAAGCUGCAAGAGUUUCCGCCAACCUCAGCUACUACCACACUAGAUCAAAACAUUAAGUAACACUAGUAUCAGCAGCAAGACUAGCAAAAAGGCAUUAUGAUAAGCAAACCUGCAAACAUACAAAUAAUUAUGCUAGAAGAAAAAAGGAAACCCACCUGUUGUAGAUACAUAGACAACUCUAUAAAUGCCAGCUUUUGUCAGUGAAUCAGUCCAGCAAUUCAUCACUCGUGGAACACGACAAUAGAAAAAAAAAAUUCUGAGAACAAC
This 396-nucleotide long non-coding RNA is filed under the name Gossypium barbadense (sea-island cotton). RNAcentral describes it as "long non-coding RNA (GBAR_LNC007754)". The record is from RNAcentral. Lineage: Eukaryota; Viridiplantae; Streptophyta; Magnoliopsida; Malvales; Malvaceae.